RNAcentral lists this ribosomal RNA (414 nucleotides) under uncultured Phyllobacteriaceae bacterium. RNAcentral's name for it is "bacterial SSU rRNA". It matches the Rfam family "Bacterial small subunit ribosomal RNA", at positions 46 to 508 of the family's 1533-position model. The record is from RNAcentral. Lineage: Bacteria; Pseudomonadati; Pseudomonadota; Alphaproteobacteria; Hyphomicrobiales; Phyllobacteriaceae.
GCUUAACACAUGCAAGUCGAGCGCCCCGCAAGGGGAGCGGCAGACGGGUGAGUAACGCGUGGGAAUCUACCCAUCUCUACGGAACAACUCCGGGAAACUGGAGCUAAUACCGUAUACGUCCUUCGGGAGAAAGAUUUAUCGGAGAUGGAUGAGCCCGCGUUGGAUUAGCUAGUUGGUGGGGUAAUGGCCUACCAAGGCGACGAUCCAUAGCUGGUCUGAGAGGAUGAUCAGCCACACUGGGACUGAGACACGGCCCAGACUCCUACGGGAGGCAGCAGUGGGGAAUAUUGGACAAUGGGCGAAAGCCUGAUCCAGCCAUGCCGCGUGAGUGAUGAAGGCCCUAGGGUUGUAAAGCUCUUUCAACGGUGAAGAUAAUGACGGUAACCGUAGAAGAAGCCCCGGCUAACUUCGUGC